AGUGAACGCUGGCGGUAGGCCUAACACAUGCAAGUCGAACGGCAGCACAGUAAGAGCUUGCUCCUACGGGUGGCGAGUGGCGGACGGGUGAGGAAUACAUCGGAAUCUACUUUUUCGUGGGGGAUAACGUAGGGAAACUUACGCUAAUACCGCAUACGACAUACGGGUGAAAGCAGGGGAUCUUCGGACCUUGCGCGAAUGAAUGAGCCGAUGUCGGAUUAGCUAGUUGGCGGGGUAAAGGCCCACCAAGGCGACGAUCCGUAGCUGGUCUGAGAGGAUGAUCAGCCACACUGGAACUGAGACACGGUCCAGACUCCUACGGGAGGCAGCAGUGGGGAAUAUUGGACAAUGGGCGCAAGCCUGAUCCAGCCAUACCGCGUGGGUGAAGAAGGCCUUCGGGUUGUAAAGCCCUUUUGUUGGGAAAGAAAAGCAGCAGGUUAAUACCCCGCUGUUCUGACGGUACCCAAAGAAUAAGCACCGGCUAACUUCGUG
RNAcentral lists this ribosomal RNA (492 nucleotides) under uncultured bacterium. RNAcentral describes it as "partial 16S ribosomal RNA". It matches the Rfam family "Bacterial small subunit ribosomal RNA", at positions 29 to 507 of the family's 1533-position model. The record is from RNAcentral.